RNAcentral lists this small nuclear RNA (22 nucleotides) under Arabidopsis thaliana (thale cress). RNAcentral describes it as "snRNA_10971". The record is from RNAcentral. Lineage: Eukaryota; Viridiplantae; Streptophyta; Magnoliopsida; Brassicales; Brassicaceae.
CCCCUCUUCUUCUCAAUAUUUC